GUUAAAAAGCUCGUAGUUGGAUUUCUGGCGGGGACCCAAGUACCCCUGGUGGGUGUGCUCGGGCCCGGCCAUCCUUCUGUAAACUUUCGCGCGUCCUUCACCGGUCGGCAAAGGGAUCAGAUAAUUUACCUUGAGAAAAUUAGAGUGUUUCAGGCAGGCUUAGCCGGAAUACAUUAGCAUGGAAUAAUGGAAUAGGACUGAGGUCUCGUUGUUGGUUACGCGGACUACAGUAAUGAUUAAUAGGGACAGUUGGGGGCAUUAGUAUUUAUUAGCUAGAGGUGGAAUUCUCUAAUUUGAUAAAGACUAACUUAUGCGAAAGCAUUUGCCAAGGAUGUUUUCAUCAAUCAAGAACGAAAGUUAGGGGAUCAAAGACGAUCAGAUACCGUCCUAGUCUUAACCAUAAACUAUGCCGACUCGGGAUCGGGAGCGUGUGUUAUCCGCUUUCGGCACCGUAUGAGAAAUCAAAGUCUUUGGGUUUCUGGGGGGAGUAUGGUCGCAAGGGCUGAAACUUAAAGGAAUUGACGGAAGGGCACCACCAGGCGUGGAGCUUGCCGCUCAAUUUGACUCAACACGGGAAAACU
Molecule: ribosomal RNA, 581 nt
Filed under: uncultured eukaryote
Lineage: Eukaryota
Description: SSU rRNA
Rfam family: Eukaryotic small subunit ribosomal RNA
Source: RNAcentral